Molecule: ribosomal RNA, 352 nt
Filed under: uncultured eukaryote
Lineage: Eukaryota
Description: SSU rRNA
Rfam family: Eukaryotic small subunit ribosomal RNA
Source: RNAcentral
CGAUAACGAACGAGACCUUAACCUGCUAAAUAGUUAGGCCAACGUUUGUUGGUCGUCAACUUCUUAGAGGGACUAUUGACUAUUAGUCAAUGGAAGUUUGAGGCAAUAACAGGUCUGUGAUGCCCUUAGAUGUUCUGGGCCGCACGCGCGCUACACUGAUCAAGUCAACGAGUUUACAACCUUGGCCGGAAGGUCUGGGUAAUCUUUUGAAACUUGAUCGUGCUGGGGAUAGUCCAUUGCAAUUAUUGGACUUCAACGAGGAAUUCCUAGUAAGCGUGAGUCAUCAGCUCGCGUUGAUUACGUCCCUGCCCUUUGUACACACCGCCCGUCGCUACUACCGAUUGAAUGGCUA